Molecule: RNA transcript, 15708 nt
Organism: Planococcus citri (citrus mealybug)
Lineage: Eukaryota; Metazoa; Arthropoda; Insecta; Hemiptera; Pseudococcidae
Exons: 8
Source: RefSeq, a predicted model, not a curated record
CAUGUCAAGGUGUUUUGAAAUUCUGUUAUAAAAAUUCUACUCUACUAUCGAACGAAGCAGAUACCGAUAAAUAAUUUCAAUUAACGGGAAUAUAUCUCAAUUCUGGGUGCACUUUUCGUCAUCUUCUUCGUGUACGUGAAAUUGCUUCACUUUCGUCGUUGGUAUUUUCAUCGAAACUGUUCCCGAAAUUCGAAUGCUCCAAUUUUACUACAUCUGUACGAGAUGAAGCCUUUUUAACCGCCAAAAUUAUCACAUUGGUGAAAAUCGAACUUUUAUCCAUUUCUGAUCGUUUAUCAUCGUUGAAACUUUCAACUCGAUGGAAUAUCGAAAUCUAGACAACGUUUUUGAGACGAAGCUUCGUUUAUUUAUUUUGUUUUUUGUUCGGUUAAUGCGCAGUUACACUAAAUGAUGCACGAACGUAACAAUGAAUAUGAUUUUCUGUACUUCUUGCUACCACACGACACUUUUGACUCGAUAUCCAUCCUCAUAUUUCUGACGUCUUAAUCUGAUUAUUCUUGUUGAAAUUCCUAUUGUUUAUUUUUCUGUUUAAGUUUACUCUUCUUUGUUCCGUUUUUUCUUUUCUUUUAUUAUUUUCGCCAAGUUACCAAAAAAAAACCGUUUUGUUAUUUUCUUAUUGUAAAUUUCACUCCACAUACACACUUCGAGAAUCACUCAAUCAACACACGUAACGUCGUAAUGAUCGCAACGUUCAUCGAAUUUAGUCGCUCGUAGGCCACUCAGUCAUCGUAAUAUUUUUGUUCCUCUCAACGUGACGUAUUUUUAUUAUGAACUCAACAGUUGCACACUUUUGCGAAAUAACUUCGAAGCGAACGAAUUAAUGGCUUUGAAAUCAAGUGCACACCGUUCAGAUUAUUCGACCGUUGCUACGUUUUACACUCAUGAAAACUAAGAUCGUUCACAUUAACCCUUUGAUUGCAGCGGCGGUGGCAUCAUCAUCAUCAUCAGCAGCAGCAGCAGCAUCGGCAACCACAUCAACCGAAUUGUCUACCGACCCAACUGCGAUUAAUAUCGAUAUCAUUAUGCGAUCGAAACACUUCGAAAUUGUUUAUUCAACCAAAUGCACCGUUGAAGGCGUCUAAAAAAAUUCAUCUACCUAUAAAUAAUCAGCUAGCUACUCAUCGAACUAUAACCUGACUUUUGUCCUUCGAAUUAAUAAUCAAGACUAAAAAAACUUUUCGACAUGAAAACUAAAGAGAUAAUUAUCACCGAUAAAUCCUCCAGCAGCGAUCAUAUGGACGUCGUCGACGAACGUAGUAAAAACGACCAAGAAUUAAUGACCACCGCAACUUUGGUCAUUUCUUCGGUAAAAUACGGCGUCGUCGCCGCCGAAGAUGACGACGACGAAGACGACGUACUCGUAUCGAAAUUGAAACGCGCCGCCGCCGGUAAACGAUUAUCGAACAACAACAACAACAGCAACAAUAUCGAUAUCGUGUAUCAUCGUAAUAAUAAAAACAACCGGUACAAUAACGCCGCCGCCGCCUUCAACGACGAUUAUCGUUACUUCGGCCGUACGACUAAAUAUUAUUGCAAUUGCGGCAACGGCGUCGUCGUCGGCGCUGGAAACCUAAAGAAAUCUUCGUCGCCUUUGCUGGUCAAGAAUAAUAAUAGUACCAACAUUUACCAUCGUGAAAUCGACAGUAUUUUGGACGCGAAUAUAGAUUGCGUGGCGGCGGCGGCGGCAGCGGCGGCUACUGUUUACGCUACGAAGAAGACGUUGAUGCUGAACGAGUUGCUGGAGUUGAACGCCGUUGUUGCCGAAGAGGAAAGGUCGCCGUCUAGCGUCGUUCAACAGCAGCGUUACGAUAUGACGAGGACGACCUUUGUAAACCGGUUUGUCUCUGAAGCUGCAUCAUUGUCUCAUCAGUCGCAGUCCAACGGUUGUCUCGUGAAGAAAACUACCAGCAAUAAUAAUCGCAGCGCCACCUCCGCCGGCCUGGUCGUUGAAAACAAUCGUAACGCUAACAAUAGUGGUGGUUGGUCUACAUCUUCGAGUUUUACUACCACUACGAGUACUCGAGGUGGUGUCGUCGAUAGCAGCAGUGCUAGUAUCGUUGUUGGUGGUGGAGGUGGUGGCAAAGGCUGUAACGUGAUUACCCAGCAGCAGCAGCCGAAUCAGUCUGUGUGUCUGAACUCUUCGAUUCUGUUGACGGAUAAACGUUUGGUCGGAUUGUUUCGCAGUGUCGCGCUGUAUUGGUUUUUCUGCCUGAACACGGUGCUGGCCAAAGGCGAUCACGUAUUCAAGCGUAAAUUAACCUCGAACGCUGUCUCGCCUUUGAUGAACGACGGUCUGAACGAGCAACUAUUACUACAACACACCAACACCGGAAUCACCAGCUGUAGUCUGUCAUCUUCGCAAGGUAACCUCCAGUUGCAGAUUUGCUGUCCCGAUGUGGUGCUGGCGGUGACCGGAGUCGACCAGUUGAAUAGCGAGAACUUUUUAUGGAAUUUGACGACGACGACGACCACGAAGAAAGCAUCAGAAACGGAUGAAAAUCAUUCCGGCGGUGGCGAUUUGUUGAGUUGGGCUGAUCACUCGAGAACGAAAUUAUUCAACGAUUUGUUCGAAAAAGUCUUACGCAAUUUGGCCAAUAAUUGCGGUAUUUUCACGGCAGCCAAACCACCUAUCAUCGAAACGUCGUCCAACAAGCACAGAUUCCGCCGCAAGACCGAAGACGAAGACCUGCUAACUCGUGUAAAGAUGGAGAAUCGAAACUGCCUGACUGAAGACCAUACUUUACUGCCUCCGACCCCUCCUUCGUCGACUUCGCCGAGUAAACCUGCGAAGAAAUACGCCAAAAAGGUAAUCGGCGUCAGACGUAAAUAUAUUAUCGACGUGAUGGAUUAUUAUUACGACGAAGAUCGCGAUCACGAGGACGACGACGACGACCACGAUGCCGAACAAGAAGAAGAAGAAUACGCCGCUGGCAGAAUCUACGCCGCGACCAAAGGCAAAUCUCGACUUCGUCGCGGUGCUAGAAAAACUCCCAAUACGGCCGUAGUCAAUCGUAUAAUUUGGAAGAAACGAGCGGUGAAAAAUAAACAGAAAUCUAAGCGUAAAUUGGCCGCCUCCAUAGCAGCCGGAGAUCAACACCGACGAGUGCAGCAGAUCAUCAUCGAAUGUUACGAAUCAGCUGCAGCAAACGGUAGCGGCGUCGGAGGCGGACAAGGUUUCAGAACUGAUUACGUGAUCAACGACGGAUACGAAGAGGUAAUCGGUGCAUCGGAUAUGCAGACAGGAUCGCCAACGCCGCCGAUGGCGAAGACUCGAGCCAUUAUCGUAGAAGACGACGAUAUCAUCGAUUUCGAUAACUACGCCGAAAACCUGAAACGCGAAGUGACCCUAAGACAGCAGCGUAAACGUAGACAGCUUUCGAUGCAGGAUGCCGAACUGCCGGUUAUCAAGAUCAUGGAACCGUCGUCGUCGAAAUGCGGUGGCGGCGCCGCAGUGUCUGGUACUCGUAUUUUUGAAAGCAGCACCGAGGAUGAAUUGAGCGGCACCGGAUCGACGAAUUCGUCGUUGUUGUUGGAGCUGGAAAGGGAAGUGAGGGUGGCGGACAAGUCGUCGUAUUUUUUACCCGAUGGACGAUAUCAUUCGGUUAACCAGAAGUACCCCAAGUACGAUCUGUGGUGUUCGCCUUUACUGAUGGAGAAAGUUAUACCGUCGUCGUCGUCGUCGGUGCCGGAACCUGCUCCAAUGCGCGCUUCGUUGUCUUCCAGGAAUCAGACCGCUAAUACAGGUGGAAGUGAAACUGGUCGAAUAUUCAAGUACGCCAAGCCGGCAGCUACAGCGCCCGCUCCAGCGGUGGCGGCAUCCUUCAAGCCGUAUCGUUUAUGGGAAUCUUCGUUCGGACCGGAAGAUGAUUUAAUACCGAGUUUCGGGGCUAGCCAACGCACCCAUCGCAGACCAACGGCCGGAGGAGCAGCAGCAGCAGCAACGAAAACUUCCAAAGCACCACCGUCCGGCAGAAGACCACCGUUUGGCGGCGCUGCUGCCAAAGAGAGUUCAGCCGCUGCUCACCAUCAUCAGUCAACCUAUACUUUAUGGGGAUCGCCGAAGAUAAUCGAUUUCCUGCCAGGAGUCGGUCCAUCGUCGAACGGCAGCGGCACCAGCAGCAGCAGUAGUAGCAUUCAUCCGAACGAAGGAUCGUAUUCGUCGUCUCGUGGCACGAUGUCGUCGUCGUCCAUCUCGGAAGCGGAAUCGUCUUCGAUGGAAUGCGACGAAUACGCGUCCGAUACGUUCGAAGUUCUUAGAACGACGGCUGGGCAUAAAGGUCGCGACGCUUUCAACUACCAUCACCAGUAUCAGCAUCAGUUCAGCGUACGCGGCGGUAAAUUCUUGAAUUUGAAACCGAUCAUCAACGGAUUCGUAUCGUUCACCGAUCGUGGAGCGUUCCAGUACUACAAGAAACCAGCAACAGCAGCACCCGGCGCCACUAAAGCGACAUCGACGACUAUGAUCACGUUAGCUUUACGAAGCAGCAACAGCAGCAGGCAGAGCGACGGUGGCCGGAGUGUAUCGGAUGCGUCCACAACGACAGCGGAUGCUUCCGACGACGUCGAAGUGAGCAACAUCGUACCGAGAUCCGAUUACGAGACUCAGUUUCACUUUAAACCGAUCCAGCCGGCGUUCAAAGUACCCACCGAUACGCCAGCUCUGAUCGAACGUAGCGCCUCCGGAACGCUGUGGUGUAAUAAUCAGAGGCUGAUGGUGUUCAAACACGAGUUAGACGAGGUUUCGAUGCAGCAGCAACAACAACAACAAAGACCUCAGCCUCGAAGCCGAAGCCGCGCAUCGGUCCACGAGUUGGAUUCGUUUCAGCCGAAAUUCGUCGUGAAUGCGAACGACGUGGCGUGUCAGACCGAAUGGAUCGAAUUGAACCCGUUCGAAAGGCUAUCGUCGAUGUCGAUGGACACAGCUUCGUCUUUUUUCGCCGCAGCUGGGUCCGCUAACGAGAAGAAAACUAGCCAAGAUCCGCCUUACGCGUCCGGCGCCAUGUUUUUUUACGCUUGGGACGAAGUUUUUAAUUUUUUGAAUAAACCCGGCCUCGGAAAUAUUGAUGUGAAGGCGCACCUGGACUUCAGCUGUUUUUUCUAACCCCGUUCACCUAUAUCUGUCUAUUUGUCGUGCCCAAUAAUUACGCUUAAGAAUGAGCUUGUGAAAAAUUCCAAUUCAAUGUAUAAUCAGGUCUCUUUAAAUCAAUCUAAUGGAUUCGAAUAGAAGAAAAAACGUCUUCUGCUUCAUCAUAAAUGUACUUACACAAUGGUAACUUGGAAAAAUCGUCGAAAAUGGUAAAUUUAAAAAAAAACUACACACACACCGAGUUUAAUAAUCAGGAAUAUAAUUAUGUUUAUUAUUGUACGAACUAUGUAGCAAAGGAAAUUAUUUUCAAAAUAUUUCUUACGCGACUUUUUCUUUCUAUUAGCUGAUAAUAAUGUAUAUUAUUUCCGUGUCUUUUUUCUCUCUUUUUUUUUACGUGUAAAAUAUUUUUAUAUAAAUGAGACGUUUGAAAAAAAAAAAAUAACGAUGAUCGAGAUUCACGACACGACGGUUUCUUUUUAUUUUCAAAUAACCUGUCGUCAGUUUACGUUUCAUGUUUUCGAUUCGUUUCCUUUAUAGAGCCUAUAUAUUCAUUAAUAUGGAGAAAAUAUUGUGAUAAAAUUGAUAAAAACAAACUAUACAAAUAUAAUACUAUAAAAACCAAAAAAAAAAAAGACAAAAUUUAUGAAAAUAAACGAUAUAAUGAUUGAUUAAUUAAUUAAGUAAUACUAUAAACACGAUUAUUAUUUUUUUUUUUUUCAAUUUUCAAAUCAUCCACGAAUAUAAAAAUUUCCUGUUUUUUGUGUCUUUUCAAUCGAAAUGUCAUUACUUUUGGGUCAUCGUACUACGACGUCCAUGUUUGUUUUUUCCUACAGCUUCGCGUUUCUGUCGUUUAUUAUUUCCGCUAUAAUAUUAUUUUAAUUAUCGAUAUUUUAUAAAUAUUUCGAAAUGAAAUUUUGUAUAUUAACGAUGUACGAUGUGUGAAUUUUUAUUUUUUAUUCUGCCGCGUGAAAUUUUAUGCAUAUAAGAUGUGUUUAGGAUGUAAAAUCCAAAGUAUCUGGUACACAAAUGACCAAACAAAAAAAAAAAAAAGCUAGGAAAUAACGUAAAUUUACUUUUUAUAUCAAAUAUGUAAUUGUAAAUACCGAAGAAUAUCUUCUCAUUUUGUAAAUUACGAAAUGGUAAAGAGGAUGGAUUAUUUGAUCGAUAUAUUACGUAUAUUGAUUUUUUUUUUUUUUUUAUCAAAAAUCUUUGAUAUAUUAAAGCAACAAAGGGUGAAUUAUUGCCUCGUUUCGAAUAUUAUUUUUGAAUUUUUUUUCUCCAACGAAUGACAGAAGAUAAUAUUUUUUUGUUUAUUUUUUUUUUCUAAUUGUACAUAAAGUAUAAAUUUACGCGAAAAAGUACUUUUAAAAAAAGAAAAGGUGUACAUUUACCGGAGGAAAGAAGGUUGAUUUUUGGUAAUUUUUUUUCUCUCAAGAGAUGAAACUUGGUAGAUAUUUUUUCAACGAAUGAUUCGAGUUUCUUCGCACAUCACCUUCUUUUUUCGUCGAGUUGAUUUUUUUCUAGUAUUUCUAGUAAUUUUACGUCGAGUUUUUUUUGUUCGAGUUACUAGGUGCUUCGACUAUAAAUAAUUUUUGUUAUUUUAUUGUACGAUUGUUGGAUUGUUUUUUUUGUAAUUUUUUUUUUUUUUUUUUUUUUUUUCAAUUAUGAUGUUUGCAAAGUAAGGAAUUUUGGGUGAUUUUUGGAACUGGAGAAAAACGUAGUGUUUUCAUCAUGUUGAGAUUUUCGGAUCAUCGUAAUUUGAGAGUCGAGUGUUUGAAAAAAAAUGUUUCUUUAAAAAAAUACGAGACCUCGUGUAAAUAGUCGAAUACGUUGUACAGUUCCAAAAUCACCUGUUUCUUACCAGUUCCCCUUCUAAAAGCUGUAUUAUUACCCGCUAUAUCCAAUAUGUUGACUCGAGUUGGCCACAAUGACGCUGAGAAUAUUAUAGAUCUUGCUGCGAGUUUAAAAAGCGAAUUUAUUACCGAGUCUUUUUACUCGCGUAACAAAAUUUCGAUGUUUGCAAUUCGAUUUCAAUUUCAAUGGAAAUCUCCUUUUACUUCUACGUUUAACGUGAUCAUUAUUCGUUGGAUUGGUAGGAUUAAAAUGCGAGAGUUUAUCGAGAUUUUGUUACAAUGAUGGUCUCAUAGGUACGUCUGAUUUUUGUUUUUCCAUCAUCGGGGACCUGGGUGCCCCUUCUCGAGUCGUCUAAUGCUGAUUUUUUGUUGAAUUUUUUUGUUGUGAUGGUCCUCGUGUGUGAGAAGACGUCUUGGUAAUUGCGAUUAAGAUGUAAGAGAUAUUGUAAAACGUAAGCAUUAAUGGUUAAAUCGACUGUGAUAUUUUAAAUUUGGUAAUUGUUUUUGUAUCGUUGAAAAAAAAAUAACUUUUAUUCGGCAACAUUAUUAAUAAUGUGGAAGUGGAUGUGAAAUUGAGUACUUGAGAUUCUGAUGAUGAAGUGAGAGAUGAAAGCGCUUAGAUAGGUGUUUUUUUUUUUUUUUUUGAAGCUAUUAAAACAGUGUUUUUUUUUUUGUAUCACUUAUACUAAUUAUUAUACCUAGCGAAUGGCAUAUCUUUUGAGAUUUUUACUUCAGGGCAGCAUAAAAAUUACUGUAUACGUUGAUCUCAAACUGAAUAUUUAGUGGCGAGUGAUUCGAAUUUCGAAAUUGGAUUUUUUUUUGUCUCGUUAAACCUGCCCUUUCUCUCUUCCUCUCUUUCAUCAAAUUAAUGAUUUUAGAUUAUUUAAUUAAAUUUAAAAACGUGUAUCGUUGAGUUUUAAACUUUUGUGCGAAUUUAUUAUGGCUUCUUAUUCUGGGAUUUAUAUUUUACGUUUUGUCAAAUAUUUUUGUUAACGUUUAAAAAUGUAUUUUUUUUUUUUUUUUUUUUUUUAGUAGUUUAAGAGUUUUAUUUUAGUAAUAAUAUGGUCGCAUACACCCUAGUUUUUUUUCGCGUGUAUGCAGUAGGAUUUUUCUUAUGGAUUUUUGAUUUUUUUUAGUAACGAUGGAUUUUUUUUUCUGGUCGUGUUCAAGUUCAGGUGAAUUUUUUUAUCCCCUUUGUCGAUGGGUAAUUUUUUGAUAUUUUUGAAAAUGCUAAAUAUUGGGACCAAGAAAAAUAAUGCAGGAAAAUGAUGCAAAUUUUUGAAUUUUUUCAAAGCUAGGAAUAUUGAAUUUUGAGCAAGUUUAAUAAAAAAAAUUGAAAAAAAAUCCUGUUGGAAAAUUUUGAUAUUUUUGAGACAGGAAAAAAUUAUUGAUUGGAAGGAGACUGAAGUGAAGAGAAAAUGAAGUUCUUUGGAGAAAUCUGGCAAAAAAUUACCUAUUUUUAGGUACAUAUUUGAUGAUUUUGGAAUUCACUGUCUGAGAAAUUUUCACAUUGAGCCAGUUCAAUUUGUACUUUUUGGCUGAGAAUGGAAGUAGCAGAAGAUAUGAGGAGGGAGGGAGAUCGUGGAGUAGAGAACAGAAAAUUGUCAACAUUUUGAUUGUGAGGGGGGGGGCCAUUCGAAUUUUUGAAAUAAAAUUUUUAAAAAAUGAGGUCAUUUAAUUUUUUAAAAUUACCUUUUUUGGUGACCUGUUUUCUGCUCUAAUCCUCUAAAAGUUGUUAAUUUCUAUGAGGAAAAAUUUCCUGAAAAUUUCGUUGUCAUUCGACCCCAAUCCCCCCCCCUCCCACCGCAAUUUCAAAAAAUUGAAAAAAUCUGAUGAACUUGCUGUCUUGAAAUUCUUUUGAGUAGCCCUUUUUUCUACAAAAGGCUUCUUUUGGUCCAUCUCAAGGAAUGUUGGCCUCUUUGUGCAGAGUCCUUCCCUCCCCCUCCCCCCUCCCCCAAAAAAGUUUGAAAUUCUUUAAAACAGUCGAAGUCAAGGGGCAUUUUUCUAAAGUUGUUAUUUUUAUCGUAAUUUUUAUAAUUAAGUCCCUUUUUAGAAAUAGACCCCCUCCCUCACCCCCCCACCAUUUAAAAAGAAUUGAAAAAUUUUGAUGAAAUUCUUAUCUCUAAAUUUUUCUGAAUAGCCCUUUUUUCUAGAAAAGGCUUCUCCUGGUCCAUCUCAAGGAAUGUUGGCUGUUUAUAUAGAACUCCCCCCCCCCCUCAAAAAAUGUUUGAAGUUCAUAAAAACAGUGAAAGUCUGGGCCUUAAAUUUAUCAAAAAUUGUCAAAUAAUUUGUCCAAAAUUUAAUUUUAGGAAUCGUAAUUUUUCUAAAAAAAAAUCCUCUUUGAGAAAGAAACCCCCCUCCCCUUUGGGCCCCCCCCCCACAAUUUUAAAAAAAUUGAAAAAAUCAGAUGCAAUUCCUGUCUCAAAAUUCUUCUGAAAGCCCUUUUUUCCAGAGAGGGCUUCUUCUGGUCCGUCUCAAGGAGUGUUGGUCUUUUUGUACAGAGCCCAGAGCCCCCUCCCCCUCCCCCUCCCUCAUAUCAAAAUAAUUUUCAAUCCAUAAAAAUGAAAAUCUGGAGCUCUGGGAACAUUUUUUUCAAAAAUUGUUAUUUGACCCAUCUCAAUUUUUGCAAAUGAUUUCCUUUUUGAGAAAAAAUUCUCCUCCUCUCCCCAAGAGCCCCCUCCCCCUCCACAUCGAAAAAAAUUUUAAUUCAUAAAAAUAGUAAAAAUACUUAUUCUGGGCCUCUGGGAACAUUUUUCAAAAAUUGCCAUUUCACCCAUCUCAAUUUUUGCAAAUGAUUUCCUUUUUGAGAAAAAAUUCCCCCCCCCCAAAAAUGUUUUUUCAAAGCUGUGGAAAAAACUAAAAAAUGCUAUGAUGAAAAUUUUUUAUCAAGCGUUUGAUUUUGGGCUAAAAAUCGCUCUGAAAGGUCCAAUUUUUCAAGAACAUUUCUCCCUCUCUACAAAGUUGAUUCUCGUGUACGAAGCCUCCCCCUCUUCAUAAAAUUGAAAAAUUUCAAAAAUGUUACAUUCAUGCGUCGCAGUUUUUCAAUGUUUAUUGUUUUUUUUUUCAAGGAACCUCCCCCUCCAUCCCCUCUCUCAGUUCUCUGUGUCUCAUUCUUGGUCACUGUUUUAAUUUUUUUUUUUUUCAAAUUUGAGGAUUCCUAGUGGCAUUUUUUUUUUUUUUUGGAAAGCAAAACAUCAAAAAUUGGAGCAUUAUUUUCACAUGAAAUCCAACAAUUUAGGAGGUAGGGAGCUUAAAAUAGCGUAACUUCAAGAUCAGGACCACCCUUGGUGACCUCAGCUACCUAUAAAAUCUUUGGACCAUUGAAAAUGAGGUUUUUGCAGAGGGGGGGGGGGGGUGAAAUUGAAUUUUGAGAACAUUUAAAAAACAAAAAAAUGUUUCAAAAAAAAAUCUCUAAAAAAUCCAACUUGGUCUCAAAUAACGUAAUGGAACAAAUAAUUGUGAUUUUGAUUCUAAUUAAUCGUUCAAAGCCCCCUCCCUCCCUCCCACCUCCUCUCCCUUCAAUUAAAUUUGCAAAAUAAAAAAUUAAGUCCAUCAGAACACGACCUAUAAUCCUGAAACAAAGAUUAAGUACAUACAAUAAUUUUAUUAUUCUAUCAAAAAUGUAAAACCGUCGUUACUUUUUAUUAUUUUUUUGUUUAUAUUAUUUUCUUAAUUUUACGAUAAUUUUUUUAUACCUAUCAGAAUAAUAUUUAGAACGUUAUUUUGCUGAGAAAAAAAAAAUAUGAAAAUUGCAUCGCGUAAAUGAAGAAAUUUUUGUAUAAUAACGUAAUUGUUUGCUAAAUACCUUAUGAAAAAAAAAAAUGAGACGUUCUAAAAAUGAAGAAAAAAAAAGAGAUUACGAUACGAUUUUUAAAAAAAGUAUAAAAGAGGUCAACUCGCUUACGAAUAAUUAUUUUCAUUUUGUACGAAAUAACGCCUAAAAAAGAGCGAUUUUAAUCAUCGCGAAAGGGUUGCAUUUCGAAUAAGUAUAAGCAUUCCAACAACAAAACUGGCGAAUAAAGUUCUUCUAAUAACGUGUCGGGUUCAUCGAAUAAUUAUAUUUUUUUUUGUUAUUAAAACGCAUGAAAUACCGAACUUAUCAAACUUGGGAUUUUAUUUAGAAUUCAGUAUUAAUACUGAGGCCCUUAUUUUUAUUAUGAAAGCGCCCAGUUUUGAGUUUUUUUUCUUUUCGCACCUCUUGAUUUGAAUUAAUUUUUUUUUCUUUUCUAAUUACGGAUUUAUUUUAUAUAAUAUGGAGCGCGCGAGUGUGAUACUAGAUGAAAAUUUGAUAACGAUGAUGAUGAAGGUAAAUGGUAAUAUCUAGAGAGAUUUUUUUGUGUGUGAGGGAAUAUUGUUCUUAGCUUUUUUUUUUCGAUGGUUGAUUGGUUGAAAGGUGUUUUUAUUUGUUUGUUUCUGGUUUGGUAAAAAUGAUUUAUUCACGGACUUUAUGUUAUGAAAAAGUGUACAAAAUGUAGAAUAAACGUUUUUACGCGAAGGGAUCGAGUAUUAGGUGUAUAAACUGUAUUUUUGUUUUAGGUUUAUUUACCUCAUUUCUUCUUCUUCUUCUUCUUUUUUUGUUUUUUGAGAAAAAAAUCUUGUAUGUAAACAAAGAGUCUUUUGAAGAGUUAAAAAUGUGUACUAGUCGCAAUUUUAGUGGAAAUUUUUUUGUUAGUAUGUAUAAUGUGAAUAUGUAGUACAAGAGUAUGAGGAAUUUUGCACUGCGAACGUUUUCCCCUCCCGUUCUAUAUACGUCUCUUUGUCUUGCGGUUUUUUUCCUUCUCCCUUGCAUGGGUGAGGAUAUUUUUAUUUUUUUAAAAAAGCAGUGUUGGCAAAUUUAUGGAGAUCGAUAAUGUGACCUGAUGAUUGCGCCUGGAUGUUUUCCUUGGGAAGAUUUGUGUAUUCGAUCGAACUUUAUUAUAGGCUAGGUAGUUUCUUUAUUUUGUUGUUGUUGUUUGUAUUAGUGAUUUGCAUUCUUGGGUUUUGUUAUUAUUAUGCCAUCUGUAUCAGUGGUGCAUUUGUUUAGAUAAGUUUAGAUCGUCCCUGUCGCAUGGUUUUGAUCUUGGAAAGUGGCAAAUUCUAUCAAUUUGUUGAUACGGCCAUGAAUUUGAACUCUCUCAGCCGUUCAGUUGACUAAAAUUCAGUAUAAAUGUAUCUUGAUUGGCAUUUUCUCGCCUAAGAUGUUCCCAAUCGUCAAACGGACGACAUUUUCGAACUCAGCGCCCUCGAAAAUGUUGAAAUCGAUACCCAUGAAGGUUUUUUAUCAUUUUGCCCCUUCCACCCCCUGAUCCUCACUCCAACCCCCUUCUCUAAUCUCCAGAGUGUUUUCAACAGCUGAUUAGAAUCGUGAAGAAUGUUUUUUUUUUCAAGUUGAAAGAAUGUUCAAAAUGUAAUUCCUAAAUUGAUGAAAAUUGUCUAAAACGGGGGAUGAAAUGUAGGGGGAGGGGGGGAAUGUUUCUUACAGCGAUUAAAAUGAGGUCACGUGAAUGGAUUGCAUGAUUUUUGUCGAUUUAGAUUGGUUUUUAUUAUAAAAGUAAAGAUAAAUCUGUGGGGGAUGCAAAAUGUUAACCUUAGUUUACUGAAGCUCAUUUUUUUUGUGCAAAUGUCUUACAAAUGCCAUUUUCUCGAAAACCGUGUUUCUAAUCGUCAAAUGGACGCCAUUUUCGAACUCAGCACCCUCGAAAAUGUUGAAAUCGAUACCCAUGAAGGUUUUUUAUCAUUUUGCCCCCUCCACCCCAUUUCCCCCACCAACACCCUCUUUUAUAGUUUUGUCCCCUUGGGUAGUUCCUUAAACAUCUGAUUGAAAUCUUGAAGAACUUUGCUUGAUGAUUGAAAAAUGUUUCAGAACUGAACUUGAGUCAAUCCCGUUAUUUGAAUAGGGAGGGGGUGUAUGUUGUGGAAAGGGUGAAGGGGAGGGGGUGGAAAUUCCAUCCAGUGAUAAAAUAUCGUCAUGUAUAUCAAUUUCAUAGUUUUCAAUGGCGCUGAUUUCGAAUCCAACGUUCAUUUUUAGUUUGGAUUGAAUUUUAGCGAGGAAGCUGAAUUUCGAAUAUCUCGAGCAUAACCCCCUCCACCCCCCCUCCCCAUUAUCCUCUUCAACCUCUCUCUUAAUCGUAAUUGGUUUUUAUCGGCCAAUUUGAGUCGUAAACUGUGAUGUUCUUAUGGUACAAAUUUUUUCCCAAACUGAACCUGGGGGUGGGUCAUAUUUUCUUUAUUUGGGUGGAAGGAGAGGGGGUAAGUGGGGGGGGGUGAAAAUUCCAUCUAGUGAUAAAAUAUCGUCAUGUAAGUAUAUCGAUUUCAUGGUUUUCGAUGGCGCUGAUUUCAAAUCCGGUGUCCAUUUCAAUCUCCGGGUUACCCCCUCCCCAUUUUUUUAAAUCAACCCCCUCCCCAUUUCCUUGACUUGAAUUGUUUUCUAACGGUCAAUUAUUCAAGCUGUGAAACAUGGUGCUUUGAUGAUCCAAAUUUUGUUGUCUAAAUCGAACUCUUCGAUAGUUCGAAUGUGUCAGAAUUGAUUAGAGUGGGGUGAGGGGAGGGGAGGGGGUGAGAAUUCCAUCUAGUGAUAAAAUAUCGUCAUGUAUAUCGAUUUCAUGGUUUUCGAUGGCGCUGAUUUCAAAUCCGGUGUCCAUUUUAAUCUCCGGGUUAUCCCCUCCCCAUUUCCUCAACUUGAAUUGUUUUUCAACAGUCAAUAAUAUUAUUCAAGCUGUGAAACAUGUUGCUUUGAUGAUCCAAAUUUUGUUGUCUAAAUUGACCUCUUCGAUAGUUCGAAUGUGUCAGAAUUGAGUAGAGUGGUGGGUGGGGCGAGGAGAGGGGGAGGGGGUGAGAAUUCCAUCUAGUGAUAAAAUAUCGUCCUGUAUAUCGAUUUCAUGGUUUUCGAUGGCGCUGAUUUCAAAUCCAACGUUUAUUUUGUGCUCCGAGUAACCCCCUCCAUAUUUUUUUUCGUCAACCCCUUCCCUAAGUACAAGUGGGUUUUUUUCAACGGUCAAUUCAAGUCGUGAAGCACGUUGCUUUGAUGAUCUAUUUUUUUAAAUUCGAAAUUAAACUCUUCGAUAGUUCGAAUCUGUUGGAGUCGAGUUGAGUUGAGUGGAGGGUGCGGGGAGGGGAGGGGGUGAGAAUCACAUCUAGUGAUAAGAUAUCGUCAUGUAUAUCGAUUUCAUGGUUUUCGAAGGCGCUGAUUUCAAAUCUGGCGUUUGUUUUCGAUUUUGAAUCGAAUUUUGGCAAGUUUUGAACAUUUUUGUUCUUAUGAAGACGUGUCAGCUAUUUUUAUCGCCUUGAUCCCAAUCUGUAAUUUUAGGAUAUGAACUACCAUCGAUGAAUAAGUCCCAUCUUUGGAAAUUUUUUCUCAGAAAAGCACCACUGAUAUUACUCGGAUCAGUUUAUUCGCACCUCUGGUGUUGAAAAAAUUGGCCAAUUGUUUCGGGAAAAAUGAAUAAAUUCCGCAGCUGAAUUCUGCUUCUCCAUCGACACAUUAUCAAGUUCACUGCCAACACUGAUUGUACUAUAAAUAAUGAUUUCCGUUUACGUAUCUCGUGUAAUUUAAAUUUCAGGGUAUUAAGAUGAUUAAUGUACAUGUACGUUUUUAAUUUUACCUUCUCUUAUGGUUUGUGUUUUGUUUUGUUAUUAUUUUUUCGUUUUCUUUUCAUUUUAUAUCGGUCUGCAAAUGCGGACUUCUAUGGCUUUUUUUUAUGGGCGUUCAUCGUAUUCGCGACGACGGAUCGAUGAACGAUUGAAAUCUGUUGAAGAGUAUCGACUCGAUCGAGAGAAUUUAUACAAUCAAGGAUGAGUGUAGAGUAGACGUGAAUUAUGAAUUCGCGUGAAAUUUCGAGUCGUUAUUACCCCGCAGCAGUUUCAAGAAUAUUAAUAUGAUCGAUGCCAAAUCCAAAUCCAAGUUUUUCAUUUGUUCUUUCGCUUAAUAUUGGAUUUUGGUAACUUGUUUCAACGAAUUUAUAAGAUGAUUAUUGAUUAUGAUGAUAGAUGAUUGUGGUUUUAGUAGAAUUUUACAUCGAGGUAGAGUGUUUCCUACCCCCGAAUAUGGAUGUUCUAUUGUUGUUUCUCUAUUUUGUUUGUUUGUUGACUGGUUGGUUUGUUGGUUCAGAAUUUUAUGAAAAAGAAGAAAAAAACAGUUACCAGGGUUUCUUUUUUUUCUCUAUAUAAGGAAAGAAUCGUGGUUAUAGGUAGUUAUAAAUAUUGCCGGAAAUUGGAAAGUGAUCUAGAUUUACUAUCUUUAUAAAUUCAUUCGUUCACUACUCCUUUUUAUUCCGUAUGGAUCGCCCCUCCUUUCCCCCGCCCGCCCUUUUGCCCUUGUUUCAGCACCCCAAUUACUAUUAUAAUUUAUAUAACGUUCAUCUUAUCAUUUUUAUUAUUUUCUAGGGUAUAAUGUAUUUUAGAAUUUAAUUACCUACUAUUACCAAUCGGUUUCUUGUGUAAAUUCCGGAUGCGUUGAAAAAUUCUGAUUUCUGAUUUCGAACGGAGUAUGAAGUAAAGUACUCGUGUAUUGUUGUAUUGGCGUAUAAAGGUGCGGUGGUUUUUCUUGUUCUUGCAUAUAUAAUGUGUAUUAAUGGAGUACGUAAUAAUAUAACAAAAUUUUAAAAUAGAAAAAAAUGAAAAAUUUUAUUAAAUGAUUGCUGUAUUUUGCGCGGAGGACUGUUGUAUCGCUUAUUGAGAUUAUGUAAUGUAGUUAUGUUUAAUUGAACACAAAACGAAAAAAAAAAUGGAAAAAAAUUGUAACUAUUAAAUUUAAAAUAAAAUUAUAGCGACUGA